Molecule: ribosomal RNA, 460 nt
Filed under: uncultured bacterium
Lineage: Bacteria
Description: bacterial SSU rRNA
Rfam family: Bacterial small subunit ribosomal RNA
Source: RNAcentral
UACGGAAGGCAGCAGUGGGGAAUAUUGCACAAUGGGCGAAAGCCUGAUGCAGCUAUGCCGCGUGUAUGAAGAAGGCCUUAGGGUUGUAAAGUACUUUCAUCGGGGAGGAAAAAACAAAACUAAUAAUUUUAUUUCUUGACGUUACCCGAAAAAGAAGCACCGGCUAACUCCGUGCCAGCAGCCGCGGUAAUACGGAGGGUGCUAGCGUUAAUCAGAAUUACUGGGCGUAAAGAGCACGUAGGUGGUUUUUUUAAAGUCAGAUGUGAAAAUCCCUGGGCUUAACCUGGAAACUGCAUUUUGAAACUGAAAAUCUAAGAGUAUCGUAGAGGGAGGUGAAAUUCUAGGUGUAGCGGUGAAAAUGCGUAGAUAUCUGGAGGAAUACCUGUGGCGAAAGCGGCCUCCUAAACGAAUACUGACACUGAGGUGCGAAAGCUGGGGAGCAAAACAGGGAUUAGAUACC